This is a long non-coding RNA of Megachile rotundata (alfalfa leafcutting bee), 770 nucleotides long. NCBI's taxonomy places the organism in Eukaryota, Metazoa, Arthropoda, Insecta, Hymenoptera, Megachilidae. The record is from RefSeq and is a predicted model, not a curated record.
CAAACAUGGCCGAUCUACGCGCAUCACCGGAGGUUGCGUUGGCUCCACACUGAAUAAUGCACUCACUGCCGACUCUAUAACUGAAAAGAAGUUUAAUUCCACAAUUAAAUGUCAUAUUCCUUUUAUACUGAACUACCAAUGCCAUAGAAGUGCAAAAGCUUCCCCAGUCUAAAAUAAAUUCUGCAAGGAAUUUAUUUAAUAACUUAUUUUCUUACUGGAAAGUGUUAGUGUAAUUGUCACUGUUUUUAGUGUAGUGCGAAACGUGCAAUUGUUUUUCAUGUACAUGUGAUGCAGUUGUUGAAGGCCAACAUCUUACAAUCCACAGUUUACAUAAAAUCUUUUAAAUAGAUACAAACAAUAAAGAAUAUAAGACAUGAUGGAAUAAAGAAGAUUAGCAAAAAAGAUUAACGAAACAGCCGAAGAUUAGAGAUAUUCGUGUUUGUAAAUUUGUAAUGUUGGAAAUUGUAGGUUUUGAAAGUUUGAGACGAUGGAGUCUCAGUUUCCAAAACUUGAAAUAUUCGAAUUUUGGAAUACCGACAAUUUUGGGGUUGACACGCCGAUUCCCAACAUUUUGAAUUUUUAAAUUCUUGCGAAUUUUACGUUUUAACAGUUGCAAAUAGGUUUCUGAAAUUUAAGAAAUUUUCGAUUUUGAAAUAUUGCGAAUUUCAGGUUUUAAAAGUUGCAAAUAGGUUUCUGAAAUUUAAGAAAUUUUCGAUUUUGAAAUAUUGCGAAUUUCAGGUUUUAAAAGUUGCAGAUAAGUUUCUGAAAUU